UGAGGGAAUAUUGGGUCAAUGGGCGCAAGCCUGAACCAGCCAAGUCGCGUGAGGGAAGACGGUCCUAUGGAUUGUAAACCUCUUUUGUCAGGGAGCAAGCGCGGGACGCGUCCCGUCGUUGAGAGUACCUGAAGAAAAAGCAUCGGCUAACUCCGUGCCAGCAGCCGCGGUAAUACGGAGGGUGCGAGCGUUAUCCGGAUUUAUUGGGUUUAAAGGGUGCGUAGGCGGAUUAUUAAGUCAGCGGUGAAAGCGUGUGGCUCAACCAUACAGUUGCCGUUGAUACUGGUAGUCUUGAGUGUAAACGAGGUAGGCGGAAUGUGAUGUGUAGCGG
This 331-nucleotide ribosomal RNA is filed under the name uncultured Barnesiella sp. Its description in RNAcentral is "bacterial SSU rRNA". It matches the Rfam family "Bacterial small subunit ribosomal RNA", at positions 354 to 681 of the family's 1533-position model. The record is from RNAcentral. Lineage: Bacteria; Pseudomonadati; Bacteroidota; Bacteroidia; Bacteroidales; Barnesiellaceae.